AUUGAACGCUGGCGGCAUGCUUUACACAUGCAAGUCGAACGGUAACAGGCCGCAAGGUGCUGACGAGUGGCGAACGGGUGAGUAAUGCAUCGGAACGUGCCCAGUCGUGGGGGAUAACUACUCGAAAGAGUAGCUAAUACCGCAUACGAUCUAUGGAUGAAAGCGGGGGGCCGUAAGGCCUCGCGCGAUUGGAGCGGCCGAUGUCAGAUUAGGUAGUUGGUGGGGUAAAGGCUCACCAAGCCAACGAUCUGUAGCUGGUCUGAGAGGACGACCAGCCACACUGGGACUGAGACACGGCCCAGACUCCUACGGGAGGCAGCAGUGGGGAAUUUUGGACAAUGGGCGCAAGCCUGAUCCAGCAAUGCCGCGUGCAGGAAGAAGGCCUUCGGGUUGUAAACUGCUUUUGUACGGAACGAAACGGCUCUGGUUAAUACCCGGGGCUAAUGACGGUACCGUAAGAAUAAGCACCGGCUAACUACGUG
RNAcentral lists this ribosomal RNA (482 nucleotides) under uncultured bacterium. RNAcentral's name for it is "partial 16S ribosomal RNA". It matches the Rfam family "Bacterial small subunit ribosomal RNA", at positions 30 to 507 of the family's 1533-position model. The record is from RNAcentral.